Molecule: ribosomal RNA, 253 nt
Filed under: uncultured bacterium
Lineage: Bacteria
Description: partial 16S ribosomal RNA
Rfam family: Bacterial small subunit ribosomal RNA
Source: RNAcentral
UACGUAGGGUGCGAGCGUUAAUCGGAAUUACUGGGCGUAAAGUGUGCGCAGGUGGCCGCGCAAGUCGAGUGUGAAAUCCCCGAGCUUAACUUGGGAAUUGCGCUCGAAACUACGUGGCUCGAGUGUGGCAGAGGAAGGUGGAAUUCCACGUGUAGCGGUGAAAUGCGUAGAUAUCGUGAGGAACACCAGAGGCGAAGGCGACUACCUGGACAAUUGCUGACACUCAGGCACGAAAGCAUGGGGAGCAAAAGGG